AUUUAUCUGUUACUGAGCGGCGAACGGGUGAGUAAUGCUUGGAUAAUCUGCCUUUAGGACUAGGAUAACCUCAGGAAACUGAGACUAAUACUGGAUAUGACCACAGUCACCAUGGUGAUAGUGGUAAAAUGUUUUAUCGCCUAAAGAUGAGUCCAAGUCGCAUCAGGUUGUUGGUAAGGUAAAAGCUUACCAAGCCUAUGACGCGUAGCAGGUCUUAGCGGAUGAUCUGCCACAUGGGGACUGAGAUACGGCCCUGACUCCUACGGGAGGCAGCAGUGAGGAAUAUUGGACAAUGGACGAAAGUCUGAUCCAGCGAUGCCGCGUGAAGGAUGAAGGCCUUCGGGUUGUAAACUUCUGUCAGCAGGGAAGAUAAUGACGGUACCUGCAGAGGAAGCUCCGGCUAACUCCGUGCCAGCAGCCGCGGUAAUACGGAGGGAGCAAACGUUACUCGGAUUUACUGGGCGUAAAGGGUUCGUAGGCGGUUUUUUAAGUUAGAUGUGAAAGCUUGAAGCUUAACUUCGAAAUUGCAUCUAAAACUGGAUUACUUGAUUCUUGGAGAGGUUAAUGGAAUUACCGGUGUAGCGGUGAAAUGCGUAGAUAUCGGUAGGAACACCAGUGGCGAAAGCGAUUAACUGGCCAAGCAAUGACGCUGAGGGAC
Molecule: ribosomal RNA, 658 nt
Filed under: uncultured bacterium
Lineage: Bacteria
Description: bacterial SSU rRNA
Rfam family: Bacterial small subunit ribosomal RNA
Source: RNAcentral